Molecule: ribosomal RNA, 672 nt
Filed under: uncultured fungus
Lineage: Eukaryota; Fungi
Description: eukaryotic LSU rRNA
Rfam family: Eukaryotic large subunit ribosomal RNA
Source: RNAcentral
CCCGCUGAACUUAAGCAUAUCAAUAAGCGGAGGAAAAGAAACUAACAAGGAUUCCCCUAGUAACUGCGAGUGAAGCGGGAAAAGCUCAAAUUUAAAAUCUGGCGGUCUUUCGGCCGUCCGAGUUGUAAUCUGGAGAAGCGUUUAUCCGUGUUGGACCGUGUACAAGUCUUCUGGAAGGGAGCGUCAUAGAGGGUGAGAAUCCCGUCUUUGACACGGACUACCAAUGCUUUUGUGAUGCGCUCUCGAAGAGUCGAGUUGUUUGGGAAUGCAGCUCAAAAUGGGUGGUAAAUUCCAUCUAAAGCUAAAUAUUGGCGAGAGACCGAUAGCGAACAAGUACCGUGAGGGAAAGAUGAAAAGCACUUUGGAAAGAGAGUUAAACAGUACGUGAAAUUGUUGAAAGGGAAACGUUUGAAGUCAGUCGCGUCGGCCGAGACUCAGCCUUGCUUCCGCUCGGUGCACUUCUCGGUUGACGGGUCAGCAUCAAUUUUGCCCCUCGGAUAAUGGCAAGGGAAAGGUGGCACCUUUGCGGGUGUGUUAUAGUCUUUUGUCGCAUGCGAGGGGCGAGAUUGAGGAUCUCAGCACGCGCACCUUUGGGUGUGUCGGGGCCUCGGCCCACGCCACGUGCUUAGGAUGCUGGCAUAAUGGCUUUAAACGACCCGUCUUGAAACACGG